This 340-nucleotide unclassified non-coding RNA is filed under the name Melitaea cinxia (Glanville fritillary). RNAcentral describes it as "misc RNA ENSMCXG00005001213.1". Lineage: Eukaryota; Metazoa; Arthropoda; Insecta; Lepidoptera; Nymphalidae. The record is from RNAcentral.
UAAUUGUUUCGUUGUAUUGUUUUGUUGCUUGUAUUUAUUGCAUUGUUGUUUGUUGAAAUGGAGAAAAUGAAAGAUGGAAGAGAAUAGAUUGCUGUAUUACAAAAUUACAUUAUUAUGCAAACACUUCGUACGACGAGAAGAAGUAUGGGAAAGAGAAGUUUUAAUGUCAAAUCACUGUCUUAUAUACACAACGUUCUGUCACAUCACUGAUUGUCUAUUGCACUCACAGUUUAUAUAAAUACUUCACACCGAUGACCGAUAAUUAAGUAUGGACCACACGAUGUGAAUCGUUAUAGAGUUGCACCGCAAUGAAAAUGUGAGACGUUCCUUAACAGUAAUA